CCAUGGGAAGACUCAACAUCAAGGAUGAGGUCAAGUGCAUAGUCAUAGUAGGGAACUUGACUGCUCAAUCCACAUAGGUUAAAAUCAUCCUGAAUGUAAUCAUCAUCAACUUCACAGAAGAACUCAUUGCCACGCAGGUUACAAAACCAAGAAAUCCAUGAAGUAUCAUCCCCAUCAGAACCACUAACAUCAGACUCUUCACUGUCCGUUUCAGAUUCCUCUACAAAGUAGAUAAACAUGAGAAUUUAGUCCUGUCGAUUUUGAAAUUCAAUGAUAGUGCGUUAUGGGUUGACAUAGUAUGUCAUNUGCUUUCGCUGGCAAGAGAUUUCAAACUUCAAACCUCCAAUAUGAAAGUCUCAAGCCAAAACCACUGGGCCACCCCGAAGAGUAUGCUUAAAUGUUGUUAGCUGGCGAUUCAUGCCUAUAUUCUUGUUAAUUGCUCAUUCCCUUAUAUCUCCACACAAAAUGCAUAGAUUAAAGAAGGUGUCUUUUCAAGCAACACUAGCCACUACUCUAUCGAGGGCAGUCAAUAAGACUUAUUGCGUACACAUCAACUUUCACAUGCGCUACACAGCACUUUUUCGGUACUAGUUCGGAUUCCGGUACAGACCUGUAGUGAUCCAAGUCUUUCAAUAGUGAGUUGUUUCCCUUCUACCACAGUGGUCAUUACAAGCUUUUAUGUCAUUAUGUUGUUGACGUUUUCAUUGUCAAACUAUGUACAAGUUGAGACAUUUGUACCUUUCUCUUUAGUUUGCUCAUGACAAUGCGACACAAGUUAAAGGGAAUUUAGUUAUGUAUUUCCAAUUUGGCUUCCAUGUAUUAAAUCUCUUCUCAUUUAUGAUUUUGUCGAAUGUGCGCGUAAUUAGAUUUGGGGUAAUAAAUGCUUUGGUUUUGCCUAGCUUGAGAUAGUCAGUCAUGACUAAGGGAGGAUUUGGGUCAUGAAACCUAGAACAUAUCAAGUAAAGUUGUUUCCAUUCACCAGAUACUAAUUUGUGGAAAUAGUCCAUAGGAAACCCAAAAAAAGAGGGGGAAGUGAAACCCAAUAGUUUCAAAGACAAGAAAAUUAUAUCCUUCAACUGAAAAGAUAAGUCAAGCAAUUCUCUGGAAUUGCAUAACAAAAUAUGAAGUCACUAAGCAAGAGAAAAAAUAUGUACCAUGGGAAGACUCAACAUCAAGGAUGAGGUCAAGUGCAUAGUCAUAGUAGGGAACUUGACUGCUCAAUCCACAUAGGUUAAAAUCAUCCUGAAUGUAAUCAUCAUCAACUUCACAGAAGAACUCAUUGCCACGCAGGUUACAAAACCAAGAAAUCCAUGAAGUAUCAUCCCCAUCAGAACCACUAACAUCAGACUCUUCACUGUCCGUUUCAGAUUCCUC
Molecule: long non-coding RNA, 1374 nt
Filed under: Solanum pimpinellifolium
Lineage: Eukaryota; Viridiplantae; Streptophyta; Magnoliopsida; Solanales; Solanaceae
Description: long non-coding RNA (SPIM_LNC000108)
Source: RNAcentral